CCCUUAGAUGUUCUGGGCCGCACGCGCGCUACACUGAUGCAUUCAACGAGUCUAAAACCUGCUCUGAUAGGGGUGGGUAAUCUUUUGAAUGUGCAUCGUGAUUGGGAUAGAUGAUUGCAAUUUUUCAUCUUCAACGAGGAAUGCCUAGUAAACGCAAGUCAUCAGCUUGCAUUGACUACGUCCCUGCCCUUUGUACACACCGCCCGUCGCUCCUACCGAUUGAAUGAUCCGAUGAAUAUCAUGGAUUGAGGAUGCAAGCAGGUUCGCCUGUCUUCAUCUUCGAGAAGUGAAGUAAAUCUUAUCAUUUAGAGGAAGGAGAAGUCGUAACA
RNAcentral lists this ribosomal RNA (329 nucleotides) under uncultured eukaryote. Its description in RNAcentral is "partial 18S ribosomal RNA". It matches the Rfam family "Eukaryotic small subunit ribosomal RNA", at positions 1470 to 1796 of the family's 1831-position model. The record is from RNAcentral.